Molecule: ribosomal RNA, 575 nt
Filed under: uncultured bacterium
Lineage: Bacteria
Description: partial 16S ribosomal RNA
Rfam family: Bacterial small subunit ribosomal RNA
Source: RNAcentral
UGGGGAAUUUUGGACAAUGGGGGAAACCCUGAUCCAGCCAUCCCGCGUGUGCGAUGAAGGCCUUCGGGUUGUAAAGCACUUUUGGCAGGAAAGAAACGUCGCGGGUUAAUACCCCGCGGAACUGACGGUACCUGCAGAAUAAGCACCGGCUAACUACGUGCCAGCAGCCGCGGUAAUACGUAGGGUGCAAGCGUUAAUCGGAAUUACUGGGCGUAAAGCGUGCGCAGGCGGUUCGGAAAGAAAGAUGUGAAAUCCCAGAGCUUAACUUUGGAACUGCAUUUUUAACUACCGGGCUAGAGUGUGUCAGAGGGAGGUGGAAUUCCGCGUGUAGCAGUGAAAUGCGUAGAUAUGCGGAGGAACACCGAUGGCGAAGGCAGCCUCCUGGGAUAACACUGACGCUCAUGCACGAAAGCGUGGGGAGCAAACAGGAUUAGAUACCCUGGUAGUCCACGCCCUAAACGAUGUCAACUAGCUGUUGGGGUCUUCGGACCUUGGUAGCGCAGCUAACGCGUGAAGUUGACCGCCUGGGGAGUACGUCGCAAGAUUAAAACUCAAAUGAAUUGACGGGGUCGAUA